RNAcentral lists this ribosomal RNA (253 nucleotides) under uncultured bacterium. Its description in RNAcentral is "partial 16S ribosomal RNA". It matches the Rfam family "Bacterial small subunit ribosomal RNA", at positions 524 to 776 of the family's 1533-position model. The record is from RNAcentral.
UACAGAGGGUGCUAGCGUUAAUCGGAUUUACUGGGCGUAAAGCGUGUGUAGGCGGUUUGUUAAGUCGGGUGUGAAAUCCCUGGGCUCAACCCGGGAAUUGCAUUCGAUACUGGCAAGCUAGAGUACGGUAGAGGGCGGCGGAAUUCCGGGUGUAGCGGUGAAAUGUGUUGAUAUCGGAAGGAACGCCGGUGGCGAAAGCGGCACACUGGAUCUCAACUGACGCUGAGGCACGAAAGCCAGGGGAGCGAACGGG